GAUGAACGCUGGCGGCGUGCCUAAUACAUGCAAGUAGAACGCUGAAGGAGGAGCUUGCUCUUCUGGAUGAGUUGCGAACGGGUGAGUAACGCGUAGGUAACCUGCCUGGUAGCGGGGGAUAACUAUUGGAAACGAUAGCUAAUACCGCAUGACAACAGUUAUUGCAUGAUAACUGUUUAAAAGGGGCAACUGCUCCACUACCAGAUGGACCUGCGUUGUAUUAGCUAGUUGGUGAGGUAACGGCUCACCAAGGCGACGAUACAUAGCCGACCUGAGAGGGUGAUCGGCCACACUGGGACUGAGACACGGCCCAGACUCCUACGGGAGGCAGCAGUAGGGAAUCUUCGACAAUGGACGGAAGUCUGACCGAGCAACGCCGCGUGAGUGAAGAAGGUUUUCGGAUCGUAAAGCUCUGUUGUAAGAGAAGAACGAGUGUGAGAGUGGAAAGUUCACACUGUGACGGUAUCUUACCAGAAAGGGACGGCUAACUACGUG
RNAcentral lists this ribosomal RNA (495 nucleotides) under uncultured bacterium. RNAcentral describes it as "partial 16S ribosomal RNA". It matches the Rfam family "Bacterial small subunit ribosomal RNA", at positions 28 to 507 of the family's 1533-position model. The record is from RNAcentral.